GAAUAAAUGUAUUUAUUGCCAGGAGGGAGCAGUGGAGCAAUGGAAAGCAAUUAACAAUGCAAUUAGUGGAUAAUUGUGGUAGAAUACACGGCAGGAGCAAGUUCAUCUCUGAGUAUAUUGAAUAAAUGAUGCCUGUGGGAAUAGCUGAACCCUCCUGUCCUUUCACCUGGAUGGUUCCCAUGAAUAAAAGAUUAAUGCUGGAUUAUUAAAUGAGAGUUUUCUACGCUUUUUAAAGAGAAAAUUCAGGGUUUUAUAAGAAAUCCUAUGAGAAAAUUCAGGGUUUUUUAAGAAAUCCUGUGAGAAAAUUCAGGUUUUUAAAGAAAUCCUGUGAGAAAAUUCAGGGUUUUAUAAGAAAUCCUGUGAGAAAAUUCAGGUUUUUUAAGAAAUCCUGUGAGAAAAUUCAGGUUUUUUAAAGAAAUCCUGUGAGAAAAUUCAGGUUUUUUAAGAAAUCCUGUGAGAAAAUUCAGGGUUUUUUAAGAAAUCCUUUGAGAAAAUUCAGGUUUUUAAAGAAAUCCUGUGAGAAAAUUCAGGGUUUUUAAAGAAAUCCGGUGAGAAAAUUCAGGGUUUUUUAAGAAAUCCUGUGAGAAAAUUCAGGUUUUUUAAGAAAUCCUGUGAGAAAAUUCAGGUUUUUUAAGAAAUCCUGUGAGAAAAUUCAGGUUUUU
Long non-coding RNA from Serinus canaria (Common canary), 662 nucleotides. RefSeq lists it as uncharacterized. The record is from RefSeq and is a predicted model, not a curated record. Lineage: Eukaryota; Metazoa; Chordata; Aves; Passeriformes; Fringillidae. The transcript is spliced from 3 exons.